GGCUCCUCUUGGCACCCUCUCCAUUCCGAGGAUAUAAAGAGAUUCCAGCCUUCAGUAUCUCCCUUACGCUUUGAAGGGUUCUCUUCCUCUUUUGCAGAUCUGGCAAACUGCUUUUUCUUUCAAUCUUGCGUCAUAGAAGGUGGCACAUUCUCCUGACUCUUCCUCCUCAGGGAAGCACCGAUCCGGGUCCAGUCCUCAUUUCCGGUCUCACAACAUGCCUAGUUUGAACUCGACUGUUUGUAAUUCCACAAGAACUAGUGCACAACAAAGGCAGUGAAACAGGGACUUUGUUUUUCUUUUUUCUAUUUAAGGCUCUUGGCGCCUGCCGUCCCAUCACUCAGGCGCAGCUCAGGUAGCGUGCGCAGCGAACAAGCUAUACUAGGCGCGCGGCCGAGUCGCGUGGUGUGUGCUAAGUACCAGAAACACAAGCGCGCACGUAGGCUGCAGGACCGCAGAAACUUCCUGUACAGUCCCUGAGAGCUGGCUUCUAUCUCUUCCUCGUUAGUAUAGUGGUGAGUAUCCCCGCCUGUCACGCGGGAGACCGGGGUUCGAUUCCCCGACGGGGAGAGUAUAUGAACUUUUAAAGGGCCCCUUCAAAAA
This is a non-coding RNA of Peromyscus maniculatus bairdii (prairie deer mouse), 600 nucleotides long. NCBI's taxonomy places the organism in Eukaryota, Metazoa, Chordata, Mammalia, Rodentia, Cricetidae. The record is from RefSeq and is a predicted model, not a curated record.